RNAcentral lists this ribosomal RNA (253 nucleotides) under uncultured bacterium. RNAcentral describes it as "partial 16S ribosomal RNA". It matches the Rfam family "Bacterial small subunit ribosomal RNA", at positions 524 to 776 of the family's 1533-position model. The record is from RNAcentral.
UACGUAGGGAGCAAGCGUUGUCCGGAAUCAUUGGGCGUAAAGCGCGCGUAGGUGGCCUCAUAAGUCCGCUGUGAAAGUCAAAGGCUCAACCUUUGAAAGCCGGUGGAUACUGUGAGGCUAGAGUACGGAAGAGGCGAGUGGAAUUCCUGGUGUAGCGGUGGAAUGCGCAGAUAUCAGGAGGAACACCAAUAGCGAAGGCAGCUCGCUGGGACGUUACUGACGCUGAGGAGCGAAAGCGUGGGGAGCGAACAGG